ACGGGGCGCAGCAGGCGCGAAAACUUGGCAAUGCGAGCAAUCGUGACCAGGGAACUCCAAGUGCNUCGGGUAAGACCNACGCUUUUCUUGACUCUUCAAAGGUCUUGGAAUAAGGGGUGGGUAAGGACGGUGCCAGCCGCCGCGGUAAUACCGGCGCCUCAAGUGGUAGUCGCUUUUAUUGGGCCUAAAACGUCCGUAGCCGGUUUGGUACAUUCGUGGGUAAAUCAACCCGCUCAACGGGUUGAAUUCUGCGAGCACGGCCAGACUUGGGACCGGGAGAGGUGUGGGGUACUCUCAGGGUAGGGGUAAAAUCCUGUCAUCCUGAGAGGACCACCUGUUGCGAAGGCGCCACACUAGAACGGAUCCGACGGUCAGGGACGAAACCUAGGGGCACGAACCGGAUUAGAUACCCGGGUAGUCCUAGGUGUAAACGCUGUGGACUUGAUGUUGGGGGCGCUCCGAGCGCCCUCAGUGUCGAAGCGAAGGUGAUAAGUCCACUGCCUGGGGAGUACGGGCGCAAGGNUAAAACUUAAAGGAAUUGGCGGGGGAGCGC
RNAcentral lists this ribosomal RNA (553 nucleotides) under uncultured archaeon. Its description in RNAcentral is "bacterial SSU rRNA". It matches the Rfam family "Archaeal small subunit ribosomal RNA", at positions 325 to 879 of the family's 1478-position model. The record is from RNAcentral.